Molecule: ribosomal RNA, 425 nt
Filed under: uncultured bacterium
Lineage: Bacteria
Description: partial 16S ribosomal RNA
Rfam family: Bacterial small subunit ribosomal RNA
Source: RNAcentral
GAAUUUUGGACAAUGGGCGAAAGCCUGAUCCAGCAAUGCCGCGUGCAGGAUGAAGGCCUUCGGGUUGUAAACUGCUUUUGUACGGAACGAAAAGCUUUGGGUUAAUACCCUGGAGUCCUGACGGUACCGUAAGAAUAAGCAGCUGCUAACUACGUGCCAGCCGCCGCGGUAAUACGUAGGGUGCAAGCGUUACUCGGAAUUACUGGGCGUAAAGCGUGCGUAGGUGGUUGUUUAAGUCUGUUGUGAAAGCCCUGGGCUCAACCUGGGAACUGCCUUUGUGACUGCAAGGCUAGAGUACGGCAGAGGGGGGUGGAAUUCCGCGUGUAGCAGUGAAAUGCGUAGAUAUGCGGAGGAACACCGAUGGCGAAGGCAACCCCCUGGGCCUGUACUGACGCUCAUGCACGAAAGCGUGGGGAGCAAACAGG